RNAcentral lists this ribosomal RNA (440 nucleotides) under uncultured bacterium. RNAcentral describes it as "bacterial SSU rRNA". It matches the Rfam family "Bacterial small subunit ribosomal RNA", at positions 28 to 481 of the family's 1533-position model. The record is from RNAcentral.
GACGAACGCUGGCGGCGCGCCUAACACAUGCAAGUCGAACGAGAGAGAGGGAGCUUGCUUCUUCGAUCGAGUGGCGAACGGGUGAGUAACGCGUGAGGAACCUGCCUCAAAGAGGGGGACAACAGUUGGAAACGACUGCUAAUACCGCAUAAGCCCACAGGUCGGCAUCGACCAGAGGGAAAAGGAGCAAUCCGCUUUGAGAUGGCCUCGCGUCCGAUUAGCUAGUUGGUGAGGUAAUGGCCCACCAAGGCGACGAUCGGUAGCCGGACUGAGAGGUUGAACGGCCACAUUGGGACUGAGACACGGCCCAGACUCCUACGGGAGGCAGCAGUGGGGAAUAUUGCACAAUGGGGGAAACCCUGAUGCAGCGACGCCGCGUGGAGGAAGAAGGUCUUCGGAUUGUAAACUCCUGUUGUUGAGGAAGAUAAUGACGGUACUCA